GAUUAUGUUACAAUCAAUUUUGCCCAUGGUAAUAUAUAUGCAGCAGCAAGGAAAAAGUCAAGACGCGUUGUAAAAAUUUCGCGUGAUUUCAUUUUGACGCUAACAUUGUUGCUGAUGUUGUUGUCGUCCUGAUAUUGUAUUAUCCCGGAAAUUUGGCAGUAUUUAGGGAAAUCGUUGCUAAAGAUUUCGCCAUUCGCUGCCGCAGACACAGUUACAGCCACAGCAGUGCCAGCUGCGGUUGUGGGUGGGGUGGGUUGGGGUGGGGUGCGGUGGAUUGGCAGCAGCAGCGUAACCCAACUUGCAAACGUAACAUUAUGCCUGUUUGGGAGCUGCAGCCCCAAUGGAAACCAAUGGAACCAAAUGGUACCCAGUCCCACAUCAAUGGCAAACGCGUGCCUAUAAAUUUCCAGGGGUUUGUGUGUGUGCGUGUGGGCACACCCUUGUGGGCGGGGCCAUUCAUUUGGUGUCGCUAACUUGAGAUUUUUAUUUGCCAGCAUACGCAAACGUUGCGUGCGCUGGUGGCACCGCCUGGAUUUCUUUAUUCAAUCGUUUUUGUUGCUCCCACAGCGCCCUCAUCAUCAGUUGCCAUAAAAUAAAAGUUACGCACACCCCAGGGACAACAUAACAGGCCACACACACAGACUCGCACACACACGCACACACACAUGCAUGUCCUGCGGCAUGGUGGCAACCAUGGCAUGCUUGACCGAUUUUGUAAGGUUUCAUUUUCAAUACGGAGAGACAUAUGAGCAGUGACCACAAAUAAUUUCCAUAGCGGCAAAAUGGAAAAUUGCGAACAAAAAAUAGAAGAGUAGGGAAAUUUGCAUGCUGCGCAGUUUUCAAUGAACAAUGACGUCACACACACAUACACGCACACACGCUCGAUAAGGAACACAGCAGUUGACACAGCAUUGCAGAGGCUUAUCAAAUCGAGCUAUAAACCGAACCCAACCCAACCCAACUCAAGCCAACUCAACUCAAGUCAAGUCAAGUCGAGCAGAAGCAAUGAAAAUUCAGCCUGAGAUUUUCCUGGGCUGGAGGAAAGUGCUAAGCUUAUUGCGUCGUUUAGGCAACACCCGAAACGAAUUGCCGGCGAAAAGACGCCAACGAAUGUGAACCCUUUGAGUGACAGACAUGAAGAUAUAAGCACACAUCCAAACAAAGGCGCACACUCACACGCACACACACACACAUACGCACACACUAAACGGAGCAGUCGUUUAGACUUUUCACGUAAGCAACUUUAAGGCUUUCAUUUGCAAGGAAAGCUGUGACUGGCUUCAAAGUGGCGCAAAGUGUCGCCUUCGCGUCGUCAGUGGUGCGCCACAUGCGAGUGAGUUUCUGGCCAGCAGCUUUCCGGUCGGGACAUGGCUCAUGUUACCAGGCAACUGGGCGGACUGUUGGGCGGUGUUGUAUAACGUGUAACGGAUCUGCAAGUUUUUUUUCUCUCUGCACACACGAGGCGCACAAGAAACUUGGCCAUUGCUGCUGAUAAGAAAUGUGAGCUUGAAGCUACAAGCUCGGAACUGGGAGCUGGGAACGCAGUCUGGGAAAUUUAUGCAGAUUUUGAGGCCCAAAAGACAACACACACGCUGAUGUGACAUGGGCAUGGGUUGAGUAAAGUGACUAUUGUAAAAUAUAUUAACAUAAAUUUGACAUAAAUGCUUCAAGAACAGUUUUUACCGCAACGCUUCAGGCGGAGCUUGUCUAAAAAAUAUAAAUGGCAAAGCAAAUCUAAAACAGCUAAAGCCAACGCGACGUCAACGCGCAUAAUAAAUGGCAAAUAACUCUGCAAAUGCCGCCCGUUGCUCCGGUUGGACAGUCAUUGGAUAUUCAUCAUACGCCCCGUUGCCCCGCUCUUCCAUUGCUCGCAGCAGCGAAACUCGUCAAAAAGUUUGAAAUUAAUUUAAAUUUUUAAUAUGUUGCC
RNAcentral lists this small RNA (1927 nucleotides) under Drosophila virilis. Its description in RNAcentral is "GJ26638". The record is from RNAcentral. Lineage: Eukaryota; Metazoa; Arthropoda; Insecta; Diptera; Drosophilidae.